GACGUAGGAUGCAAGCGUUGUCCGGAAUUAUUGGGCGUAAAGAGUUCGUAGGCGGUUAUCUAAGUCUGGUGUUAAAGCCCGAAGCUCAACUUCGGCAUGGCAUUGGAAACUGGGUAGCUAGAGUGUGGUAGAGGUAUCGGGAAUUCCUGGUGUAGCGGUGAAAUGCGUAGAUAUCAGGAGGAACACCGGCGGCGAAGGCAAUCCCCUGGGCCUGCACUGACGCUCAUGCACGAAAGCGUGGGGAGCAAACAGG
RNAcentral lists this ribosomal RNA (253 nucleotides) under uncultured bacterium. RNAcentral describes it as "partial 16S ribosomal RNA". It matches the Rfam family "Bacterial small subunit ribosomal RNA", at positions 524 to 776 of the family's 1533-position model. The record is from RNAcentral.